Molecule: ribosomal RNA, 608 nt
Filed under: Escherichia coli
Lineage: Bacteria; Pseudomonadati; Pseudomonadota; Gammaproteobacteria; Enterobacterales; Enterobacteriaceae
Description: bacterial SSU rRNA
Rfam family: Bacterial small subunit ribosomal RNA
Source: RNAcentral
GCUUGCUGCUUCGCUGACGAGUGGCGGACGGGUGAGUAAUGUCUGGGAAACUGCCUGAUGGAGGGGGAUAACUACUGGAAACGGUAGCUAAUACCGCAUAACGUCGCAAGACCAAAGAGGGGGACCUUCGGGCCUCUUGCCAUCGGAUGUGCCCAGAUGGGAUUAGCUUGUUGGUGGGGUAACGGCUCACCAAGGCGACGAUCCCUAGCUGGUCUGAGAGGAUGACCAGCCACACUGGAACUGAGACACGGUCCAGACUCCUACGGGAGGCAGCAGUGGGGAAUAUUGCACAAUGGGCGCAAGCCUGAUGCAGCCAUGCCGCGUGUAUGAAGAAGGCCUUCGGGUUGUAAAGUACUUUCAGCGGGGAGGAAGGGAGUAAAGUUAAUACCUUUGCUCAUUGACGUUACCCGCAGAAGAAGCACCGGCUAACUCCGUGCCAGCAGCCGCGGUAAUACGGAGGGUGCAAGCGUUAAUCGGAAUUACUGGGCGUAAAGCGCACGCAGGCGGUUUGUUAAGUCAGAUGUGAAAUCCCCGGGCUCAACCUGGGAACUGCAUCUGAUACUGGCAAGCUUGAGUCUCGUAGAGGGGGGUAGAAUUCCAGGUGUAGC